RNAcentral lists this ribosomal RNA (471 nucleotides) under uncultured bacterium. Its description in RNAcentral is "partial 16S ribosomal RNA". It matches the Rfam family "Bacterial small subunit ribosomal RNA", at positions 28 to 507 of the family's 1533-position model. The record is from RNAcentral.
GACGAACGCUGGCGGCGUGCUUAACACAUGCAAGUCGAACGAUGAAGCGGUGCUUGCACCGUGGAUUCGUGGCGAACGGGUGAGUAAUACGUGAGUGACCUACCCUUGUCUCUUGGAUAAGCCUGCGAAACUGGGUCUAAUACCGGAUACGACCAAUCCCUCCAUGGGGUGUUGGUUGAAAGCGUUAUGGAGUGGUUUUAGAUGGGCUCACGGCCUAUCAGCUUGUUGGUGAGGUAAUGGCUUACCAAGGCGACGACGGGUAGCCGGCCUGAGAGGGUGACCGGCCACACUGGGACUGAGACACGGCCCAGACUCCUACGGGAGGCAGCAGUGGGGAAUAUUGCACAAUGGGCGCAAGCCUGAUGCAGCGACGCCGCGUGAGGGAUGACGGCCUUCGGGUUGUAAACCUCUGUUAGCAUCGAAGAAGCGAAAGUGACGGUAGGGGCAGAGAAAGCGCCGGCUAACUACGUG